GAAAUGCGAUAAGUAGUGUGAAUUGCAGAAUUCAGUGAAUCAUCGAAUCUUUGAACGCACAUUGCGCCCGUUGGUAUUCCUUGGAGCAUGCCUGUUUGAGUAUCAUGAAAUCUUCAAAGUAAAUCUUUUGUUAACUCAAUUGGUUUCUACUUUGGUAUUGGAGGUCUUUGCAGCUUCACACCUGCUCCUCUUUGUUCAUUAGCUGGAUCUCAGUGUUAUGCUUGGUUCCACUCGGCGUGAUAAGUUAUCUAUCGCUGAGGACACUGUAAAAGGUGGCCAAGGUAAAUGCAGAUGAACCGCUUCUAAUAGUCCAUUGACUUGGACAAUACUUUUAUGAUCUGAUCUCAAAUCAGGUAGGACUACCCGCUGAACUUAAGC
Molecule: unclassified non-coding RNA, 378 nt
Filed under: plant metagenome
Description: partial contains 5.8S ribosomal RNA, internal transcribed spacer 2, and large subunit ribosomal RNA
Rfam family: 5.8S ribosomal RNA (bases 1-105)
Source: RNAcentral